This 493-nucleotide ribosomal RNA is filed under the name uncultured bacterium. RNAcentral describes it as "partial 16S ribosomal RNA". It matches the Rfam family "Bacterial small subunit ribosomal RNA", at positions 29 to 523 of the family's 1533-position model. The record is from RNAcentral.
AUUGAACGCUGGCGGCAUGCUUUACACAUGCAAGUCGAACGGUAACAGGUUAAGCUGACGAGUGGCGAACGGGUGAGUAAUGCAUCGGAACGUGCCCGAUCGUGGGGGAUAACGCAGCGAAAGCUGCGCUAAUACCGCAUACGAUCUGAGGAUGAAAGCGGGGGACCGUAAGGCCUCGCGCGAUCGGAGCGGCCGAUGUCAGAUUAGGUAGUUGGUGGGGUAAAGGCCCACCAAGCCGACGAUCUGUAGCUGGUCUGAGAGGACGACCAGCCACACUGGGACUGAGACACGGCCCAGACUCCUACGGGAGGCAGCAGUGGGGAAUUUUGGACAAUGGGCGAAAGCCUGAUCCAGCAAUGCCGCGUGCAGGAAGAAGGCCUUCGGGUUGUAAACUGCUUUUGUACGGAGCGAAAAGGUCUCCUCUAAUACAGGGGGCUCAUGACGGUACCGUAAGAAUAAGCACCGGCUAACUACGUGCCAGCCGCCGCAGUAA